GACCGAUGACAAACAGCCAAGUGUGAGCACCAGAAGGCUUUCUGCUUACUGCUUGAUGUCUAAAGUUCUGAGA
Small nucleolar RNA from Jaculus jaculus (lesser Egyptian jerboa), 73 nucleotides. RefSeq annotates it as small nucleolar RNA U2-19. The transcript has a single exon. The record is from RefSeq and is a predicted model, not a curated record. Lineage: Eukaryota; Metazoa; Chordata; Mammalia; Rodentia; Dipodidae.